This 29-nucleotide non-coding RNA is filed under the name Thermincola carboxydiphila JR. Lineage: Bacteria; Bacillati; Bacillota; Clostridia; Eubacteriales; Thermincolaceae. The record is from RNAcentral.
GUUUCAAUCCCUUAUAGGUGGCUAAAAAC